This 373-nucleotide ribosomal RNA is filed under the name uncultured bacterium. RNAcentral describes it as "bacterial SSU rRNA". It matches the Rfam family "Bacterial small subunit ribosomal RNA", at positions 525 to 896 of the family's 1533-position model. The record is from RNAcentral.
ACAGAGGGGGCAAGCGUUGUUCGGAAUUACUGGGCGUAAAGGGCGCGUAGGCGGCCCUCUAAGUCAGACGUGAAAUCCCCGGGCUCAACCCGGGAACUGCGUCUGAUACUGGAGGGCUUGAAUCCGGGAGAGGGAUGCGGAAUUCCAGGUGUAGCGGUGAAAUGCGUAGAUAUCUGGAGGAACACCGGUGGCGAAGGCGGCAUCCUGGACCGGUAUUGACGCUGAGGCGCGAAAGCCAGGGGAGCAAACGGGAUUAGAUACCCCGGUAGUCCUGGCCCUAAACGAUGAAUGCUUGGUGUGGCGGGUAUCGAUCCCUGCCGUGCCGAAGCUAACGCAUUAAGCAUUCCGCCUGGGGAGUACGGUCGCAAGGCUG